GUCUCCGGCCCGUAUCAGCCUGAAGGAGCCCGAUCUCGUCUGAUCUCGGAAUCUAAGCAGGGUCGGGCCUGGUUAGUAUCUUGGAUGGGAGACCACCUGGGAAUCCCGGGUGCUCGAGGCU
Molecule: ribosomal RNA, 121 nt
Organism: Bison bison bison
Lineage: Eukaryota; Metazoa; Chordata; Mammalia; Artiodactyla; Bovidae
Source: Ensembl